RNAcentral lists this ribosomal RNA (254 nucleotides) under uncultured bacterium. RNAcentral's name for it is "partial 16S ribosomal RNA". It matches the Rfam family "Bacterial small subunit ribosomal RNA", at positions 524 to 776 of the family's 1533-position model. The record is from RNAcentral.
CACGUAGGGGGCGAGCGUUGUCCGGAUUUAUUGGGCGUAAAGAGCUCGUAGGCGGCUCGGUAAGUCAGGUGUGAAAACUCUAGGCUCAACCUAGAGACGCCACCUGAUACUGCCGUGGCUAGAGUCCGGUAGGGGAGCAUGGAAUUCCUGGUGUAGCGGUGAAAUGCGCAGAUAUCAGGAGGAACACCAGUGGCGAAGGCGGUGCUCUGGGCCGGAACUGACGCUGAGGAGCGAAAGCGUGGGGAGCAAACAGG